GACGAACGCUGGCGGCAUGCCUAAUACAUGCAAGUCGAGCGGAGUUGACGAGAAGCUUGCUUCUCUGAUACUUAGCGGCGGACGGGUGAGUAACACGUAGGCAACCUGCCUUUCAGUUUGGGAUAACUUCCGGAAACGGAUGCUAAUACCGAAUACAUCAUCUUCUGGCAUCAGAGAAUGAGGAAAGACGGCGCAAGCUGUCACUGAGAGAUGGGCCUGCGGCGCAUUAGCUAGUUGGUGAGGUAAUGGCUCACCAAGGCGACGAUGCGUAGCCGACCUGGGAGGGUGAGCGGCCACACUGGGACUGAGACACGGCCCAGACUCCUACGGGAGGCAGCAGUAGGGAAUAUUCCGCAGUGGGCGAAAGCCUGAUGGGGCAAUGCCGCGUGAGUGAUGAAGGUUUUCGGAUCGUAAAGCUCUGUUGCCAGGGAAGAACGUCCGGGUGAGUAACUGCACCCGGAGUGACGGUACCUGAGAAGAAAGCCCCGGCUAACUACGUGCCAGCCGCCGCCGUAA
RNAcentral lists this ribosomal RNA (516 nucleotides) under uncultured bacterium. Its description in RNAcentral is "partial 16S ribosomal RNA". It matches the Rfam family "Bacterial small subunit ribosomal RNA", at positions 28 to 523 of the family's 1533-position model. The record is from RNAcentral.